AAAGGAAUAGACGGGGACCCGCACAAGCGGUGGAGCAUGUGGUUUAAUUCGACGCAACGCGAAGAACCUUACCAAGGCUUGACAUCCAUAGAAUCCUUAGGAAACUAGGGAGUGCCCUUCGGGGAGCUAUGAGACAGGUGGUGCAUGGUUGUCGUCAGCUCGUGUCGUGAGAUGUUGGGUUAAGUCCCGCAACGAGCGCAACCCCUAUAUUUAGUUGCCAUCAGGUAGAGCUGGGCACUCUAGAUAGACUGCCGGUGACAAACCGGAGGAAGGUGGGGAUGACGUCAAAUCAUCAUGCCCCUUAUGUCUUGGGCUACACACGUGCUACAAUGGCCGGUACAGACGGAAGCGAAGCCGCGAGGUGGAGCGAAUCCGAGAAAGCCGGUCUCAGUUCGGAUUGUUCUCUGCAACUCGAGAACAUGAAGUCGGAAUCGCUAGUAAUCGCAGGUCAGCAUACUGCGGUGAAUACGUUCCCGGGUCUUGUACACACCGCCCGU
RNAcentral lists this ribosomal RNA (497 nucleotides) under uncultured bacterium. RNAcentral's name for it is "bacterial SSU rRNA". It matches the Rfam family "Bacterial small subunit ribosomal RNA", at positions 903 to 1397 of the family's 1533-position model. The record is from RNAcentral.